Molecule: ribosomal RNA, 613 nt
Filed under: uncultured Alphaproteobacteria bacterium
Lineage: Bacteria; Pseudomonadati; Pseudomonadota; Alphaproteobacteria
Description: bacterial SSU rRNA
Rfam family: Bacterial small subunit ribosomal RNA
Source: RNAcentral
CUAUUGGUUCGGAACAACUGAGGGAAACUUCAGCUAAUACCGGAUGAGCCCGAAAGGGGAAAGAUUUCUCGCCAAUAGAUCAGCCCGCGUCCGAUUAGCUAGUUGGCGGGGUUAAAGCCUACCAAGGCGACGAUCGGUAGCUGUUCUGAGAGGAAGAUCAGCCACACUGGGACUGAGACACGGCCCAGACUCCUACGGGAGGCAGCAGUUGGGAAUCUUGGACAAUGGGGGAAACCCUGAUCCAGCCAUGCCGCGUGAGUGAUGAAGGCCUUCGGGUUGUAAAACUCUUUCGACGGGGACGAUAAUGACGGUACCCGUAGAAGAAGCUCCGGCCAACUUCGUGCCAGCAGCCGCGGUAAUACGAAGUGGGCUAGCGUUGUUCGGAAUUACUGGGCGUAAAGCGCGCGCAGGCGGUCUUCAAGUCAGUGGUGAAAGCCCGGAGCUCAACUCCGGAACUGCAUUGAAACUGUGAGACUUGAGUACGAGAGAGGUGAGUGGAAUUCCAGUGUAGAGGUGAAAUUCGUAGAUAUUGGGAAGAACACCGGUGGCGAAGCGGUUACUGGCUCGUAACUGACGCUCAGGCGCGACAGCGUGGGGAUCAAACAGGAUUAGG